Molecule: long non-coding RNA, 1770 nt
Organism: Oryzias javanicus (javanese ricefish)
Lineage: Eukaryota; Metazoa; Chordata; Actinopteri; Beloniformes; Adrianichthyidae
Source: Ensembl
CCUAAUCUAAUAUUUGAACAUUUACUUGAAGAAAGUAAGGUAGGGGUUGUUACAUAACUAAUGUCCAUGACAAAAUGACCUUCAGUAACAUGAACUGACGUUAGAUCUGAAAGAACUAGCGCUGGCUAAUUUUUGACAUUAUGCUAACGGCUAACGAUGCUGUGAUAGUUCUGCAACAGCAAAAUAAUAUCAUUGACUGAUUAACAUCAUCUUUACUUUACAUUCCUCUUUCUUUGUCUUGCCUUUUCUCCACUUCUUUUCUUUUUUGCCUCUCUGGACAUCAGGAAGUUUUGGACGUUUUGACAUUUGAAGUGAGUGAAUCUCAACUAAAGCCACAGCGUAGCAGGAUUUGCUAUGCAAAUAAGAUAAUGGGUUAUUCUUUUCUUCUAAACACAUCAAAAUGAACGGCUAUAGUUGAAACCAUAGUUAUAAGAAUAGCGAAGGAUUUAGGCUUGUGCUUUUUUUGUUUCUUCUUCCAUUUGACGUAGGUAUGUGACUAAAAAUCUUAAAUUACGUGGAUUACUCUGAUCUUUAUAUCACUGGAAAAGGCUGAAAGAGACUGUAAAUGACCUAGAUUCAGCCCAUCGCCUUUUUAUUUUGUAAUUCUAAUUUCUUUUUGUAUAAUGUGGUUGGGACUUUUAUUUUGAAGGAAUGUAAAGACGCGCUAACCGGAAGUCAUCAGUGAAGCGAACGUGAAGGCUGCAUGUGCUUCGUGUCUGCCAAAACGAUUAUAAAAACAAAGUUAAAGGUUUAAAAAAGUAAAGUUUAUGAUUUUCUUAUAGCACCUGGUUGACAAGGGAACAAGCUCUUACGGUGUGUUCACACAUACAAGGCUGAAUAAAAGGAUUGUGAACCAUCAGUUUGAGAGACCAUCUUUUCAACCGGGGAUGCUACAGAGACCAUUCCAAAGGUUGAUCUGCAUCACUAGAUUUUCAGCAUCUUUAUUCUGAUUGGCUACAAGUCAUCUACGUCACACCAACUCGGCAAUACUGUUGGGCAGUCGAGCUGUCUGUCAAAUCUGUCGACUCUACUGGGAGAUGGACACCGACAAUCAUUACAGCAUGACAGAAAGUCCGCGGUGUGUCGACGGGAUCAUGAAGGGGCACGUGGGACGGACACGGAGGUGGAGGUCGAUAACACCAGGCCCUCCGCGCGCCCAAGGACGAGCGCCAGGCCCUGUCCCCGGACUGACCCAGUGACCUUCCGAGACGUCCGGAACCCCAUUAGCCGCCAGCCUCUCCUCCCCCCAAUGAGCCGCCUUUUUUCUGCAUUCCUGCUCUACCCCCUCUGUGUUUUAAAAAAAUAAAUAUUUGUUGUUAAAAACAACUGUUGCAUCCUAUUUUGUGCAUUCUAGUCCUCUGCCUAGAAUUUUUCCCACCAAAAAGCAAUGGACUAACUGUUUUGAUUUAAAAACUUCUUCGUUUCAGCCGAGAUGUCCGGAACACCAGGAGUCGCCAUCCUCUCCUCCCCCUGAUGAGCCGCCUUUUUUAAAAAAACGUUAUUUUAUCAUUUAUUAACUGUAGUUAUUAUCAAACUUGUUUGUUUAAGAAAUGUUCUCCCGGUUUUAAAAAACUUUAAAAAUCUUCUUACCUUAUUUUUGAUGAGCCGCCUUUUUUAAAAACGUUAUUUUAUCAUUUAUUUAUUUAUUUAUCAUUUAUUAACUGUAGUUAUUAUCAAACUUGUUUGUUGGACAAAAAAGAAGCCGAGAAGUUUCUGCAGGAUACGACAUUGACAGCGAGAGGUGUAUGUAAACUCUGACGGUACCUUUCA